Clarias gariepinus (North African catfish) is the source of this 1163-nucleotide long non-coding RNA. RefSeq lists it as uncharacterized. The record is from RefSeq and is a predicted model, not a curated record. Lineage: Eukaryota; Metazoa; Chordata; Actinopteri; Siluriformes; Clariidae. The transcript is spliced from 3 exons.
GCCUACUUUAUUGCAGAUGAACUGGAAGCUAUAGAAAUACCUUUUUUUGUUGGAAGAAAUGCAGCAGGAUGAACCACGACGCUCCUCCACAACAGUUCCCAAACUGGUCAACAUCUUUUUUUUUUCAAAAGAUCGUCUGCGCCUCUCUUUUAGUUGACGCCAUCUCUUCAGGUCCGGCCUUACAAGAGACUCAAGCACAGCUGUUCUUCGUUCUGCAUGCGCUUCAUAUGCCUCAAAAAAUUGUGAGGAUCUCUGCCUCCUGGCCAUGCUUGUACUGGCAGAGGUCCCCGGCUGCUCGUCUACAGAAGCACCUGCUGCCUGAGCUUGAGGAAGAGAGAUUGAUGGAGGCCUGUUUUGAGAAGGUGGAUCUUCCACACAUAGAGGAGUAGAGCAGAUAGUUCCAGGUGGUGCAGUUCCUAUUCCAGAGGACCCAAAUAGCUCAUCCAUUUGCUGCAGAAAAAGCACAAUGUGAUACGAAAGUGACUUUGUAAUAAGAUGCAAAAUGAUCUUAUACAGUGCAGUCUUAGACUUACUGUGUAGUACUCCCAGGUUUGCUUUCCCUCCCCAGUUGCACGGCGGCGAUCCUUAACUCUUUUUCUUAGGUGCCAUACCUUGUGAUUCAGGGCGGUCUAUCUGGACGGAGGAUGGGUUUCUGGCUCCUGAAGGAUUACCACCCACUGCAUCGGUUUUUAGGGUGGUAGUCGGUAGGUCCUGGCUAAUAGGUGUCUGUUGCACAGGGCACUGGCUGGUUGGUGGUUUCACAAAACUGAGAUUUAGGGGUACAGGUGACUCAGUGGAGGUAGAGGGACAUAGAGAAGGAGGUGGGGGAACACUGCAGCACAAGCUAGAUCGCUGAUACUGUAGGAGCUAUUUAGAGAGAAAGCUGAAAAUUUAGUUGUCACUUAUGUGUCCAGUAUGUGUUUGUUCAUCACAAGUGUUUAUCUUGUUUUGUGUCAACGGCUGUAACUUUUGCCAUGACAUCAGAGAGGAACAUCUGGGGAAAUACUCAAAACUAUCACACAGUCCUCUCUCUGGAACUUUCUUGAAGGUCUCCAUUGACUAUGCCUUUCUAAACUUGUUUUGUGAUUUGUUUUUAUUUUUGUCUUUGCAUUUAAGAAUUUAUAGCCAUUAGAAUGUUGCCUGUUGUUAAGAUACCUGUACCA